This is a long non-coding RNA of Serinus canaria (Common canary), 1573 nucleotides long. RefSeq lists it as uncharacterized. NCBI's taxonomy places the organism in Eukaryota, Metazoa, Chordata, Aves, Passeriformes, Fringillidae. The record is from RefSeq and is a predicted model, not a curated record. The transcript has 3 exons.
CCCAGCCCCACCUGGAUUCGCCUCAGCGGUGCCGCCUUCCCGAGCGCCUGUUUCAAAACUCCUCGAAAAGAGCUUUAACGUAGAAAACUUGGGUUCGAGACCACAAAGUCGUGAGGCCAGUGCAGAAUGACAGCCGUAACUCUGGAUGUCUUCAUCAGCUGCUGCUGGCAACACCCUGACAAAAUAUCUGCUACCCAGAACCACAUACUGCGCGGCAGGUGGUGCUCUUGGUCCUUCCAAACACAAGCUGCACUUCCUAAACUCCAGUCAGGUCAGAAUUGUUCCAUCCUGCCCCAGCUGGCUGGUUUGAGCCCUGUCUGCUUCUGGGCAGGGUCUUUCAGCUUGAGUGAAGUGUUUUCCACCAGUGAAGAGGAAAGGAGGGAAGAAAAGGUACUCCAUGUGGGGUUUUGGCAGGAAAUGAAGAAAGGAUCAGUACAAACAAAAAGAACUAGCUGGCAAGUACAUACUUAACCACACUGUAGCCCAAUCCAGCCUUCUGUCCCAAAUUUAAUGGUAAAAAUACUAACUGUGGAACUUAUAAGGAAAACGUUGUAGCUAUUAAAUGGGAUGGUUCUGUUGCCAUUGUUUUCUUGUGCUGUGUACAUUGCGUAGGAUCAUGCUUUCCCCUACACAUUGUCAUUCUCACUGCAAGCACCACAAAACUUGUAACAGCAACAAUUCUAAUUUCCAGGUUCCACUUGCUUGUUUCUCAGCUGGCAGCUAUACCUUGUCCCUGCAUUUGUGUCAUCCCUUACAUCUUGCAAAAUCUGGAUCAGAAAGGCCAAGGGCAGGAGACAGGUAAAUUUUCUUCCAGCUGUUAACAAACAAGUAAUUAAAACUGGCAAAGUGUCAUAAUCUUUGAUUUUCUAUCUUUUUAAAAUAAUGUUUCAAGUGGAAAACUCGCUGCUCAGGAUUUCAAAAAUCUUAGUUGAAAGUGCUUAGAAAGUAACUAAAAAUAGACAAUUCUGAGCAGAACUUCAAAGUUUGGAAAGAAAAAUCAUGAAUACCAGCCAACUAUCUCAUCAAUAGAUCCCUACCCAAGGUUUUUGCAGCAGUUUCCUGGAAAGGUGUCAUUGCCAGUUCUUUUCUAUUUUUCUCAUAAACAUAUGUUCUUGAGGAAUUUAAUAUUAGGCUAAAUAAAAAAUUACAACCCCACUUCAUUUAUUCUAAAGGCAUUGAGUUCUGCUGUUCCCCAGUCCUCUCCUGUAUAUGUUAACUAUGUUCAGAGAUGUGGUAAAAUAGAGGAAAUGCUUCAUUUUACCCAAGAACUUAUUAAAAUGCACUUGUUCAGGUUUUAGGUUUGUUUUCUUGGAGUGCGAGGAGUAGACACCAAUAGAUGGUGCUGCUGGUGCAUUAAUAAGGUUCAGUUUCACAUUUGUUUUCUGGUCUGUGCUUGGAAUUUGUUAAAAAAAAAAAAAGAGAGAGAACAAAACAAAACAACAAAAAAGAACAAAACAACAAAAUCCCUCAUGCUAAGCUUUUAUCCAAAAUGUUCUCCCCACACUGAACCGGUCACCAUUUAACUUUAACCUGAACUGUGGCCCAGGAAAUCCUUCAACAUAAAUAACCUUGG